GCCCAAUUAGCUCAGUCGGUAGAGCACUCGGCUGUUAACCGAUAGGUCGUAGGUUCGAGUCCUACAUUGGGCGCCA
RNAcentral lists this transfer RNA (76 nucleotides) under Bacillota bacterium. RNAcentral's name for it is "tRNA-Asn". It matches the Rfam family "tRNA". Rfam says of the family: Transfer RNA (tRNA) molecules are approximately 80 nucleotides in length. Their secondary structure includes four short double-helical elements and three loops (D, anti-codon, and T loops). Lineage: Bacteria; Bacillati; Bacillota. The record is from RNAcentral.